CGCGAUUCGCCCUUCGGGGUGCAGCAGGCGCGAAAACUUUACAAUGCGGGAAACCGUGAUAAGGGGACACCGAGUGCCAGCAUCAUAUGCUGGCUGUCCAGGUGUGUAAAAUACACCUGUCAGCAAGGGCCGGGCAAGACCGGUGCCAGCCGCCGCGGUAACACCGGCGGCCCGAGUGGUGAUCGUGAUUAUUGGGUCUAAAGGGUCCGUAGCCGGUUUGGUCAGUCCUCCGGGAAAUCUGACGGCUCAACCGUUAGGCUUUCGGGGGAUACUGCCAGGCUUGGAACCGGGAGAGGUAAGAGGUACUACAGGGGUAGGAGUGAAAUCUUGUAAUCCCUGUGAGACCACCUGUGGCGAAGGCGUCUUACCAGAACGGGUUCGACGGUGAGGGACGAAAGCUGGGGGCACGAACCGGAUUAGAUACCCGGGUAGUCCCAGCCGUAAACGAUGCUCGCUAGGUGUCAGGCAUGGCGCGACCGUGUCUGGUGCCGCAGGGAAGCCGUGAAGCGAGCCACCUGGGAAGUACGGCCGCAAGGCUGAAACUUAAAGGAAUUGGCGGGGGAGCA
This 566-nucleotide ribosomal RNA is filed under the name uncultured archaeon. RNAcentral describes it as "bacterial SSU rRNA". It matches the Rfam family "Archaeal small subunit ribosomal RNA", at positions 312 to 878 of the family's 1478-position model. The record is from RNAcentral.